GCCCCGCCGUAACACAGCAAUUAAACAACCAAUUGCUCGCCAAAUAACUACGAGUAAAAACUUAAAAUUUAAAAGACUUGACGGUACUUCACAACAACCUAGAGGAGCCUGUCCAAUAACCGAUAAUCCACGAUUAACCCAACCCGUUUUUGCCUACAGUCUAUAUACCGCCGUCGCCAGCUUACCUUGUGAAAGAAACAAAGCAAGCUAGAUAGUACCACACUAAUACGACAGGUCGAGGUGUAACUUAUAAGCGGGACAAAGAUGGGCUACAUUUUCUCAACCAGAAAACACGAAUAUAGCAUGAAACAGCAACCUGAAGGCGGAUUUAGCAGUAAGACAAAAAUAGAACGUUUAUCUGAAAUUAACGCAAUGAAGUGCGUACACACCGCCCGUCACCCCUGUAGAUAUCCACAAACAUCCAUAAACACAUAACAUUCUAUAAGCAGGGUAAGUCGUAACAUGGUAAGCGUACUGGAAAGUGUGCUUAGAU
Molecule: ribosomal RNA, 493 nt
Filed under: Hypsiscopus plumbea (rice paddy snake)
Lineage: Eukaryota; Metazoa; Chordata; Lepidosauria; Squamata; Homalopsidae
Description: partial 12S ribosomal RNA
Rfam family: Bacterial small subunit ribosomal RNA
Source: RNAcentral